GAUGAACGCUAGCUACAGGCUUAACACAUGCAAGUCGAGGGGCAGCGGGAUUGAAGCUUGCUUCAAUUGCCGGCGACCGGCGCACGGGUGAGUAACGCGUAUCCAACCUUCCGUACACUCAGGGAUAGCCUUUCGAAAGAAAGAUUAAUACCUGAUGGUAUCUUAAGCACACAUGUAAUUAAGAUUAAAGAUUUAUCGGUGUACGAUGGGGAUGCGUUCCAUUAGGUAGUAGGCGGGGUAACGGCCCACCUAGCCAACGAUGGAUAGGGGUUCUGAGAGGAAGGUCCCCCACAUUGGAACUGAGACACGGUCCAAACUCCUACGGGAGGCAGCAGUGAGGAAUAUUGGUCAAUGGACGAGAGUCUGAACCAGCCAAGUAGCGUGCAGGAUGACGGCCCUAUGGGUUGUAAACUGCUUUUAUAAGGGAAUAAAGUAGAGUCUCGUGAGACUUUUUGCAUGUACCUUAUGAAUAAGGACGGCUAAUUCCGUGCCAGCAG
Molecule: ribosomal RNA, 497 nt
Filed under: uncultured bacterium
Lineage: Bacteria
Description: bacterial SSU rRNA
Rfam family: Bacterial small subunit ribosomal RNA
Source: RNAcentral